This is a non-coding RNA of Prunus mume (Japanese apricot), 779 nucleotides long. NCBI's taxonomy places the organism in Eukaryota, Viridiplantae, Streptophyta, Magnoliopsida, Rosales, Rosaceae. The record is from RefSeq and is a predicted model, not a curated record.
UCAUAGAAGAAUCAUGAUAUUAUAUGUUGUUGUGCCUCUAAAUUAGUAGGCCUGACGUCGUUUAUUGUAUCUACAGAAUGGCCCUAACUCAUUGGACAUAUCGGGAGAUCCUUACAAGAGGAAUAUCGCUGGAUCCAGAUUGGACAAGUUGGGAAUUCACAAGACGCCAACAUUCCAUUGCUAUCUAAAAGGGGAAAGGGUAGAUGAGGUUUCCAAUGCUUCUAUCAAACACUUGAAAAUGUCUACAAUCCAUCCUGGAUGAAGAAAAGGAGAAGACAAGGUAAGAAAGAUGAGAAUAAUGGAGGAUUUGUUGCGGUACUUCCAAGUGUGUUUCCUGAAACAUCGUUUCUUGAGAUGAGGGCCGAACUUGGACAAGUAAUUUUUUAUUUUGAUGAUGAGGAAAAGAUGACAGAUGAUGAGGAUAAGAUGCCAGAUGAUGAGGACAAGAGGGCAAAGGACAAGAUGUUGUGGUUUGCGAAAGGGUUGUUUUCAAGUAAAAAGAAGAGAGAGAUGUUUUGUAAAUUGAAAGAUCCUGAAGCCAAGCGCGAAUGGCUUAAGAGUGAAAUGGCUAAGGAAUGAACUGGAAGUACUUGUGUCAUGGUACAUGUUACGUUGUUUGACUCUGUCUGUGGUUUAGACUUGUGUGGUGCUGGAUUAAGAUAUCCUUUUUUUUUUUGUUUUAUAGCCACUUCUAGCAUCAAUAUUAUUAAGAUAUCCUUUGUUUUUCGAAUUAUUAAGAUAUCCUAAUUCAUCAAAUUUGGAGAAGGCUUAAAUGUCAA